CUACAGCAGAAGAGGCAACGAGCUAACUCCGUGCCAGCAGCCGCGGUAAUUCUGAGGGUGCAAGCGUAAUUCGGAAUACUGGGCGUUAAAGCGCACGCAGCCGGGUUUGUUAAGUCAGAUGUGAAAUUCCCCGGCAUCAACCUGGGAACUGCAUCUGAUACUGGCAAGCUUGAGUCUCGUAGAGGGGGGUAGAAUUUCCAGGUGUAGCGGUGAAAUGCGUAGAGAUCUGGAGGAAUACCGGUGGCGAAGGCGGCCCCCUGGACGAAGACUGACGCUCAGGUGCGAAAGCGUGGGGAGCAAACAGGAUUAGAUACCCUGGUAGUCCACGCCCGUAAACGAUGUCGACUUGGAGGUUGUGCCCUUGAGGCGUGGCUUCCGGAGCUAACGCGUUAAGUCGACCGCCUGGGGAGUACGGCCGCAAGGUUAAAACUCAAAUGAAUUGACGGGGGCCCCGCACAAGCGGUGGAGCAUGUGGUUUAAUUCGAUGCAACGCGAAGAACCUUACCUGGUCUUGACAUCCACAGAACUUUCCAGAGAUGGAUUGGUGCCUUCGGGAACUGUGAGACAGGUGCUGCAUGGCUGUCGUCAGCUCGUGUUGUGAAAUGUUGGGUUAAGUCCCGCAACGAGCGCAACCCUUAUCCUUUGUUGCCAGCGGUCCGGCCGGGAACUCAAAGGAGACUGCCAGUGAUAAACUGGAGGAAGGUGGGGAUGACGUCAAGUCAUCAUGGCCCUUACGACCAGGGCUACACACGUGCUACAAUGGCGCAUACAAAGAGAAGCGACCUCGCGAGAGCAAGCGGACCUCAUAAAGUGCGUCGUAGUCCGGAUUGGAGUCUGCAACUCGACUCCAUGAAGUCGGAAUCGCUAGUAAUCGUGGAUCAGAAUGCCACGGUGAAUACGUUCCCGGGCCUUGUACACACCGCCCGUCACACCAUGGGAGUGGGUUGCAAAAGAAGUAGGUAGCUUGAUCUUCGCGAAGGCUGCAUACCUACUGCAGACCCACUGCCG
RNAcentral lists this ribosomal RNA (1008 nucleotides) under Escherichia coli. Its description in RNAcentral is "bacterial SSU rRNA". It matches the Rfam family "Bacterial small subunit ribosomal RNA", at positions 476 to 1477 of the family's 1533-position model. The record is from RNAcentral. Lineage: Bacteria; Pseudomonadati; Pseudomonadota; Gammaproteobacteria; Enterobacterales; Enterobacteriaceae.